UACGGGGGGUGCAAGCGUUAUCCGGAAUUAUUGGGCGUAAAGCGUCUGUAGGUUGCUUAAUAAGUCUGUUGUUAAAGACUGGGGCUUAACCCCAGGAAAGCAAUGGAAACUGUUGGGCUAGAGUAUGGUAGAGGUAGAGGGAAUUCCUAGUGUAGCGGUGAAAUGCGUAGAUAUUAGGAAGAACACCGGUGGCGAAAGCGCUCUACUGGGCCAUUACUGACACUCAGAGACGAAAGCUAGGGUAGCAAAUGGGAUUAGAUACCCCAGUAGUCCUAGCCGUAAACGAUGGAUACUAGGUGUUGCGUAUUAAUACGGUGUCGUAGCUAACGCGUUAAGUAUCCCGCCUGGGGAGUACACUCGCAAGGGUG
RNAcentral lists this ribosomal RNA (368 nucleotides) under uncultured phototrophic eukaryote. RNAcentral describes it as "SSU rRNA". It matches the Rfam family "Bacterial small subunit ribosomal RNA", at positions 524 to 896 of the family's 1533-position model. The record is from RNAcentral.